GCAGGGCAGGGCGGGCCGGCCAGGGGGAGCGGGGACCCGGGGGGCGGCAGCAGACGUGUCUGUUUAACCCCACGUAAAGGCAACGUGAUCACCCGGGCUCCGCUUCCCAUCUCCCUGCUCUUGCCGUCCGCUCCUGGGCAGAGGCAGCUCCCGGACCUGCUUCUCCGGGCUGGAUCCUGCCCCGGCCCCCCGCGCCGGCGCAGCUCCGGGAUGCGGGGCGGGGGGCGCCGGGCCGUGGCGCCCCGCUCCCCUGCUCCGCCGGCCGCCCCCCGCCUCGCCUCGCCUCGCCUCGGCCGCCGGGACUCGGCGUGAGCCUCGGAGGGGCGGGGACGCGGACACGCGCGGAGCCCAGCGCCAGCCGAGCUCGCACGUGGAAGGAGCGGGCAGCAGCCGGCACGGAGACACCCCGGCCCGGCAGCCCCGCGCCUCUCGCAAGUUGGUUCCCAAGUUCCGGCAAGUGCGGCCGGGCCCCGCCGGGCCCCCGCCCCGUCCAGCCCCGGGCGGGAAAAACCCGGCGCUGCCCUCCCUGCCCCCGCGCCCGGCUCGGAACAAUGGAGCUCGGCGACGCCCGCCCGGGCGGGGAGGCAACGGGGGCUGGCGGGGAGCGACCCCCACGAGGGACGCCCCCCGGGCCCGCGGGGGCAUGAAGGCUCUGGAGCGCCGGGGCUGAAGAAGGCGCCGCCCGGGGAGGGAGCCCCCGCCUGCCCCCUCCGCUGCCCGGGGCUCUGCUCGGGACCAGCGUGAAGCAACAAGUCAGCCCGCGGGUCCCUGGCCGGUGCGUGCGAGCUGCGGCUGCGGCAGAACAGGCCCAGGCCCCGGGAGAAGGAGCCGGCUCCGCGGCGCUGGCAGGUCGGGCGAGAAGUCUUUUGCAGAAAAGGGAAAAACCCUCCUCCCAAUCCAUGCAUCACAGCCACCGCCACUGCCAGGGAAGCGGGAUGGAAAGACACGUGCCUUGCUAAGGGGGAAAAGAGCGAGCCCGGGAGUGCACAGGCUUUGAAGGGCACGUAUCUGGGAGGAUUGUGCUCCUCCGGGAGGAGAUGUGACCUCCAGCGCCCUGCACGCACAUCAGAGCUGGCUACACGCCUGAGUGCAGGCAGCAAGCAUGCCCGAUCCAGCCUUCACCAGGAAUCAAGGGGGCGCGGGGACAGACACCAGCCUUGCAAGGCUUGGCUUGCAGAGACAAGUCAUGCCUCCCCGGGCCGGGGGCAGGCUGAACGAUUCUCACCCCGAGGCAAUGGCCCGCUCAGGAAGAGGCUGUCUUCUGCCUGCAAGGCUUGGACUGGCCGGCUUGGCUGCGCGGCUCCAAGGCAAGGAUGAAAGGCCGAGGGAGCCCGGGGUGGAAGAUGCUCCCAGUCGUGUCCACGUGGAUGCUAGAGGCCGUGGGAGCCUCCCACAGAAGAGGUGCCGCGAUCUGAAGCCAUGGAGCUGGCUGCCCCGGAAGCCAAGUGGACAACCCCGGGCCGAGACCCGCCGGUCACUGCCCGAAUAAAACCAGGGGUCGGCAGCACGUGAAGCGGUGGCAGGGAAGGGGGAAAAGCCAUGCCAGCAGCGGGCAGAUCGGUGGCACGUCCCCCUGAGCGGAGCACGUGGUGCGCAGAGCUUCGGCGGCUGCAUUGGGAGAGCGGGAUCCUGCCCGCUGGAGACGGGGCCGUCCGUCACUUGCCCGCGUCGCUGGCAUCGAGCCUUGCAGGGCUGCUGGCAGGAUUCGAAUCCGCUGCCUCCCGUGGGGAACAGCCCGAGCCUCUGCCAGCCGGGGCUCCAGUGACAGCGACGGGCUCGUUGACCUUUCCCGGGGGCCAGACAAAAGCCCCGGCCUCCAAGCGGGGUGCAUGGCGCAGAGGCAGAGUGGGAGGAAGCGAGUCCCCCCCACGUCCUUGCUGGUUGCAGCGAGCGAUGCGAACGGCUGCACGGGUUGUGAGGGUCCCGGCGGCCGACGGGUGGGAGGAGGUGACAUUUGGCCAUGCAUUAAAAGCAGCAGUUUGCCAGCGAGA
Molecule: long non-coding RNA, 1991 nt
Organism: Alligator mississippiensis (American alligator)
Lineage: Eukaryota; Metazoa; Chordata; Crocodylia; Alligatoridae
Exons: 4
Source: RefSeq, a predicted model, not a curated record